Long non-coding RNA from Alligator sinensis (Chinese alligator), 2165 nucleotides. RefSeq lists it as uncharacterized. NCBI's taxonomy places the organism in Eukaryota, Metazoa, Chordata, Crocodylia, Alligatoridae. The record is from RefSeq and is a predicted model, not a curated record. The transcript has 3 exons.
AGGGUAUCAACUGGGGAAAUAAUCAUAGCAGGUUAAAAGGGGAGGGAGAGGCACGACUUACUGCACAUUUACUGACCCAUGGCAUUGCCUGUGUGUCUACUCUAUCCUGUAGUAAAUGAAAUCUUCUCUGAGGCAGGUUACUCCUGAAUGAAACAGCUGCUAAAUUACUGUGUUUUAGCUUCCACUUGAUGCAGGUUGGCAAACAGACAAAGCAGUUAUAGCAGAUCAGCUUGAUGAGCAAGCACCACUGCACCAACAUUAUUUGCUAAUGAGAUAAGCUGGACAUCAGGAAACAACACAGAAGAGGACUCAUACUCUUCAAUUAUAUGGAUCCUUUCUGCAUCAGUAAGCACACAAUGACGCUUCAGUGCAGUUACUCCUAUUUUUCAUGGCUUACAACAGUGAAAAAGGCAGAAGAUAGGAUGACAAGCAUGAGGACAACAAAUCCAACACUUGAGCUAUGUUGUCAGUGAAUCUCCAAGGAAUCAUGCAACCUUCACAAUCCUUUACUUUAGUGGAAGUGCUUUCAGGCUCAUUAAAGUGUUACACAUGCGCCCCCAUCUGGAGCAAAUUGCCCCUGAGAGAAGGCAGCCCAGUCCAGGGCUGUUCCUGCCCUGCUCUGCCCCCCUGCAGCAGCCAGGGGGAGUGCCAAGCUCCCCUGGGUGCCAGCCCCAGGACUGGCAGUGGGGACAGGGGCCAGUCCCAAUCCUGAUCCUCACAUGGCCAGGAAAGCUGUCCCCACUCAGUGGGGACACAGCCUGCCAGCCAUGUGGGGAUCGCCAUGUGGCUGGCAAGCAGCAUGCCUACCGAGGAGGGACAGCUCUUUCAGCCACAUGGAGACUGAGUCCCAACCUGAUUUCCCCGUGGCUGGGAUGCAGCAGUCUCAGUUGCUAGGACAGUUCUCCCAGACAUGUGGGGAUUGGGACGGGUCCCGAUCCCCCACAAAGCGGGGAGACAGCUGCCCCUGUAGCUGGCACAGUUCCCCCCCACAUCAGGGUUUAGCCAGGCAGCAGCUGGCACCCUGCUGACUGGGAGCAAAUUGCUCUCAGUCAGCAUCCACAUGUAUGCUACUGUACAGUAGGUAAUGCACUAUUAAUCUAGCACCUGUAUAUCCUGAUGCUAGGAAAUGGCACAUUAAUCUAAUUUACUGCACACUGGGCAUGUCUACAUGUUCAUUAAUAUGCCUUAGAUACUGCAUAUUUAGCUUAGUAUUUCCUUAAUAAAGUACUAACUAAAAGAGCAGUAACUAGUUACUGCACAGUAGUGCUGGUGCAGUUUUUUUAGUGACACUUACUGUUCAUUAGCCUAAUAACUGUGCAAUAAGCUAUUAGCAUAGUUUUUGCCUGCCACACUACUGCGCAGUGUUAUUAGGCUAAUGUGAAGUAAGCAUCUUGUGUAGACGUGCCCAGUAAGUCCCACAUAUAUGUAGACGGUGACACUGUACUAUGCAUUACAUUCCUCUAAUGCACAGUAAAGCAUCUUGUAUAGACUGAACACUUCAGUUUGUGGACUAUGUUGCCUGCUGUUUAUAUAUCCUGUUUGUAUUUUGCUUUUUAAUGCACCUUUUAAAUUUGUCAGAUGUUUAUCAUGAUGCGUGUGAGGUGAUAAAGGUUAACAGACAUACUGUAACCUCCUCCAAUGGUAAUGAUGCAGGCCAUUUCCUGGUGACUAAGGUCUAGCUGGCAAAACCAAGGAACACUAAGGUCACACUAAGGAAUACUGUUAUUAGCAUUGGCAAUGUGCAGGGGGUGCAUGCGGGUGUGUGUGCACCUCCUGAGAUCGGCCGUGAACCCCCUGGAAGCACCAGCCGCAAAAUCAGAAGCGCCGGCAGAAGUGCACUUCUGAUUCUGCUGCUCAUGGUUCUGGGCUUGGCAAUCAGCCACUGCGGGACUUCCACCCUGCCGUCUCCCUCCCCCAAUCGGCAAUCUGGUGCCUCCCCAGACUCGGGAAGCACCAGUCGGCCAUGGUUAUUAGUAUGAUAAGAUGAUUAUGGAAGACAUUUUUGGAGUGUGAUGAGGUUUCAUCUAGAUUAGUAGACCACACUGCAUGCUUGUCACAUGGGUUGUAUCAAUUCACCACAAUCCAAUCCAUUUAUCUGAAAAACUUCUAAUACCAAUUGCACAUAGUAAAACAAAAGUGAGAAAGGAUACUUGUGAAUUGCAGUU